Molecule: non-coding RNA, 107 nt
Organism: Nicotiana attenuata
Lineage: Eukaryota; Viridiplantae; Streptophyta; Magnoliopsida; Solanales; Solanaceae
Source: Rfam
AUACCAUGGUGUGGAUAUAUAACUAGCAUCCCUUUGAAUCGUUCCCAUGUUUCAUGCAGUGUUUCCAUUGGUCUCUGUUUGAAACUCAAAAUUUCAUCAAUUUGUUG